AAGACUAUACUUUCAGGGAUCAUUUCUAUAGUUUAUUACUAGAGAAGUUUCUCUGAACGUGUAGAGUACCCGAAAUCACGAGGAAGAGGUGUAAUAUCCCUUUCUGAGCGUGAAGUUGGCUCUAGGUGUUGCUUUUUUUACAGACGCCUUUUGUCUUUGAUGAUCGUUCUUCUUCUCUUUAAGAGAAGUUAGAGGAAAGGGAUGUCAUCUGAGUGGU
This 217-nucleotide small nucleolar RNA is filed under the name Zalophus californianus (California sea lion). RNAcentral describes it as "Small nucleolar RNA U3 (ENSZCAG00015024720.1)". It matches the Rfam family "Small nucleolar RNA U3". Rfam says of the family: Small nucleolar RNAs (snoRNAs) are involved in the processing and modification of rRNA in the nucleolus. There are two main classes of snoRNAs: the box C/D class, and the box H/ACA class. The record is from RNAcentral. Lineage: Eukaryota; Metazoa; Chordata; Mammalia; Carnivora; Otariidae.